UACGUAGGUGGCAAGCGUUGUCCGGAUUUACUGGGCGUAAAGCGCGCGCAGGCGGAUGGUUAAGUAGGAAGUGAAAGGUUGGAGCUCAACUCCAACACUGCUCCCUAUACUGGCUAUCUUGAGUCCCGGAGAGGAAAGCGGAACGACACGUGUAGCGGUGAAAUGCGUUGAUAUGUGUCGGAACACCAAUGGCGAAGGCAGCUUUCUGGACGGGCACUGACGCUCAGGCGCGAAAGCCGAGGUAGCGAACAGG
Molecule: ribosomal RNA, 253 nt
Filed under: uncultured bacterium
Lineage: Bacteria
Description: partial 16S ribosomal RNA
Rfam family: Bacterial small subunit ribosomal RNA
Source: RNAcentral